UGCACGGCGAUGCGACUGAACAACCUCGAGUGGAAAUCGAAAUACAUGGGCUGACCUCCCAAGUGCCUCCUGCCGGGAAUGAAGGAGGAGCAUGGGAGGUUGGGGAGCUGAGCAAAGCACCCUCGCUCCUGUGCCAUAGUGGGCAGGUGGUCCCAAACCGGGAUUGGGGAGGCAAAGCUGUUCUCUGUGCUCCACAGCAUUAUUUGUGCCACAGACAGGUGCUUUGGAUGGAGUAGAAGACAUAUAGGGAGCAACCUGUGUGGAACCGGGAAGCUCAGUGAUGCUGGCUCUUGCUGAAAUAUGGGCUGGUUUGUAAUGCUAACGGAGGGUGUCCUGCUGGGGUUUCUUGCAGCUGCAUCAGAGUUUUGAGCUACUUGGAAAGAGAUUGCACGUAAUAGGUAUUAGGAUAUUAGGAGUGUGCAUGGGAUUUUUGCUUUUUAAUUUACACAUCCAGCUUUCCAGUUCUGGGAUGCCAUUAAUGUUCUUAUCCAGAAUUACCAUGUUUAAGGAGUGAGGUUUUCUUACCCGUGCGACAAUGUGUGCUUUGUGAGAUUUGAAUGGGCAAAUCCCAGCAGUGUGUUUUGGCUGUAAGAACUUACAUUUAGAUGAAGGCAUCACUAGCUCAGCUCUCACAAACACGUUCAAUUAUCUUAUUUUGAGAUUAAAGGGUUAGCAGUUUAGGGGCUGCUUUCUUAAAGCAUCCUAAAAUGCAGGGGAAACGCACGGUGUAUGGGAAGAAGCGGUGACACAAAGUAGCUUGCUAACGAACCCUCGUCUCAUCGUGCGUGCGGCGGUGGGAUGAUUUCCUAUGACUCAUCAGAUCAGAUAAUGCGCAGUGUGCAAUGGAUGAAAGGGGUGGCGGGGCUGGGAGCAGAGCCUGUGCCUCCUGCUGUGGGGACAGGCAGACGGGGGCAUGGCUGCUCGCUGCCCCAAGCAGGGAUUUCUGCUGUGGGAUGUUCAAAGGGAGCACCGCAUCCCUGGGGGCCUGUGGAAACCAGAACUUCAGUAGUUCUGUUGGACAUUGCACUUAGGAAAGAUGCUGGCCAAAGGAAAGCCUUUUAAUUGCAGAGUGGCUGUUUUGCCCUUUUACGUCAACACUUCCUGCUUUCUCAGGGGCAGAAAUUCUGCUCCUGAAUAACUAACUGUUACACCUGCCCAGGACUGAUGAUGUUUUCCCCAUUGCAGAAAGCCAGGAUGUGCAGCAUCGGUGGACAUGCAAGGCCCCUGGCCGUGUCCUGCUGGUGCCCCCAGAGCCCCGCAGCACAGAGCUGACCCUGCAAAAGGGCUCCUGAUGGUGGUUUUGUGCACUCAUCGUUGGAAGCCUCAGGCAGAAAAUGUUAAUUUCUAUUGGUACUUGCUGGAACAGUGCGUAAUUAGUAGUCAUGGCCCUGCGAGGCUAUUUGUGGAGGAGUCAUCCUCACGCAAAAGCCCUUGGCCUGGCUGUAGUGAGGCCUACUUCGGAAUUCAACCUCACCCAAUUAACAUAUUCUGCCAAAUAUAUCAUUAAUGAGCAGAGUAGACUGCACUGGUGCUUUCUUUUAGAUGCACUGACCCUUCCUUUCCUGCAAACCCGCUGCAGCUGGUGGCCCUGGCUUGUUCUUAAUGACUGGAGCUCCCUGUGCCUGUCCCACGCUGCCAGCAGGACCUGGGAGCUGCAGAGAAGGCCCCUUGAAGGAGGUGGGAGGGCAGCUCCCCAGCGGCAGCUGUGCACCAGCGGCACGGGACGUGAGAGGCUGCUCCCGGCUCGCUGAAGCAGUUCAGUGAUGCAGUGAAUGUGCAUGACACCUGCUUGAUUUUUCUGAGCACCCUGACCUCUGUCUGACCACAUCCCCAGCAUGCAUGCAGCUGGAUGGGGGGGCUGGGCUGGGGGAACGCAUUUUCCUUCUUGCCAAGGAAGCUGCUUGAAGGUGGAUUUUGUUUUCAAGUGUCAGCUCCCGCUGCCCAGGGACGUAGCUGACAUCAAUUUGCCUGGCUGAGGUACUGCUCAGUAACAGCUGUGUGGCAGUCAGCUGCAGCACCAUUCACUAGAUGAGCAUCAGAAGAAUGUGACGAGGAUUUUGCAGGCCAAAAGUAGGAGUAAUUGCAGAACUCGCAUGCCUGGGUAAGCCUCCAUCAGCAGCAAUAGCCCUUCCUUCCCGCCCAGCGAGGCUUUCCAACAAAAUGAGGGACGCCAGCUAAUAAGGCUCUCCUGGGCUAAACGACUUUAAUAACUUUUACUAAUUUCAGUACCUUUUCAUGCAACGUGUAAUUAAAUUAUGAGGCUCCUUGCCAUAGGAUGUUAUGGAGGACUGAGUUAUAAAUGGAUUCUGAAAAGGAUUAGGCAAAUUCAUUUUGGCUAUGAAACACGGCCGUUCGGGUACAACCUCCGGCUCAGAAAGUCCCGAAACCUUCAAUUCCAGGAAGCCCGUACUGGCAUGAGGAAGAUAACACAGCAGAAAGCAGAGUGGAAAAACCAAAACUGUGGAAACUGGCCCAAACACUUGCUGUGCAGUAGAAGUCAAAUGUCUGCAAUCUGAUCCAACUUAAAAUGAGUUUUAGUGCAUUAAUCAAGAGGAUCACCUUUUUUUUCCCUUCCAAAUUUGAAUUUAUAGCAUGCCAUCAGUCACUAGCCUCAAGCCAUAACCAAGAUUAAUACCAGCUGAUGUGUGCAUGCCACUACUAUGUUGAUAGUGAAACAAAACUUUCCCUGGUUUAUUUGCCUCUCCCGCAAGGAAUUCAGUCUUUCAGACCUCCCUCUCAGCCAAGACCACUUUUAAUAACAUUUAUUUAUGUUUGCUAGUCAUGAAGCAUCUAAAUAGUGUUUCAUACAAAAACCUUUAAAUAAGAACAGGAGUGUUUCAUGGUAUUUAUAUUUCUGUAAAGAAGGUGACACUGGCAUGCGGACAAGUUGUGGCUCAGUAUUAUACGUUAACAAAAGAUCAUCCAUGAAAUGUUCACUGUAACAAAAGCAAUAUUCAGUAAUGAGGAAGAUUAGUUUUCAGUGGGAUUUAAUUUCAUUUUCAAAGUAGUAUUUUGAAUUUCAGCAAACUUUUCUGGUUUCCCUUGAAUGCAAGCAAACACCUUGUUGUGUUGAGCUGCCUUCUUUUCCUCAACAAACCCCACAUUUAGCCCUAACACAGGCAGAGGAUUCACAAGAUUAUUUUGCAUUAGAGGAGUGCUAUCUUUAGUGAGAGAAAUUAAAACAAAGGGGCUGCAGGCCAAAGUGCUAGAGCCUGGAGAAGUCGUAGAUUAAGCUAUAUUAUAAUUGCUAGAUUACCUGCUGGGAGCUAUGAGCAGUUAAUUCUUUAAUUUUAUGCUGUGUUUUUAAGGUAGUUUGAGGUUCUCUACAACCUCACACAUCAAGAGGUUUUGAAAGUAGACAUUGAAACAGGAUGUUAGGAACUGUUACGGGUGCGUUGGAAAUCAUCCCUGGCAGCCUGGGGAGGCAGACCAACAGGAAGCAUGCAAAGCGGCUUUUAGGGAUGGUUAGGUCCGCUGCUUUAUGCAAAGGAUUUGGGGAAGUCAGACAUCAGUUGGCUCCUAGGUGGUCCCACCAGGCAAAAGCACUACAUGUUGCCUGACUCCCAUGAAAGACAGGGGAAAGACAGGAGUUUAGAUCCUUGAAAACAGCUCCCAGGCCAUGCCAAGGCUGAAAAAGAUUUCUGGAACUGGCUAGAAUUGGUUCAUCUCUGAUCGCACAGUUUGGUAGAGGCUUAAUCCUAGGCCUGACCACAGACAUGACACAGCCUUUGCAGUGCCCUCUAGGGCAUUCUCUGUGUGCUAGAUGGCCUGUGGGCACAGGCCCUUCUGCCUGAAAAGUUAUGUGCAAUGGCAGGAUGGGCUGAAAAUUGCCCCAAGGUCCUUUGCUAUCUUCUGGUCUUACGUUUAUGGGACUGGGGCAUGACACCAGCAAAGAAAACAUCAGUAUUGAUCAAGACCUACAAGUGUUUGAUGUAGGUUGUUCCACAGAAAAGCAGAGAAAAAAUAGCCGAAGGAGGCCGGUUGCUCAUUCCUAAGCUCUAGGCCUCAAGCACAGGGGAGAAUGAAAGGAUUUCCAGGUGCACAUUUCCAGCAGUCCUGACAGCAGUUAUUUAAAAUUAAUCCUUGCCUUGCUCAGCUUACGUCGCGCCACAAGCGGGCCUGCACAAGGCCGUGGAGUGGAGAGCUCUCCCACAUGAAGGAAGGGCUGGGUUCCGCCACCUCUCCUGAAGGCAGGAGAGCUGCUGCUUGUGCCUGUGUUGGUGCUGCAGUGCAGAGCACUUGUCUGAAGGGCUUUGGAGGUGAUAUACAAAAGUGGUGUUGAAGUACACACCAACUUCAGUAUCUGUUAGUCAUUAUUCAAAUACUGAGCCAUGCUAGGUUGGCAGUAGGAGCACUGAGGGUCCAUGAUAGCUGCCGAGAGUAAAUAUAUGUUUUAUUUUAAUUCUUAAGUGCUGCUUAUUCUCCUCUAUUAGCUUGUGUAGAGGGUGAGGGAAGCCCAGUGAGGGCCUCAGUGUACUCACUCAGAGCACCCACUCAGAGCACUCACCUCAUCUAUGUAAUGCAGCACAGCAUGCAAUACUACUUGUGUUUUGGGGACAGCAGGUGUCUUCAUUUCAACAGCACAACCAAGCUGCAAAACUUCGAAAGGAAUUUUGAAGGUAUUCUAAUGUCUUUCACUUAACGCACACACACAGAGUUUAAGAACAGUUCUCCAAGUUUUCAGGGCAUGUUGAAAUAAAACCACAUGAAACCAUUAGAAGAACACAGACAUGCUCACUCGACUUUGAAAGCCCCACUCCUUUCUCAGAACCCUGCCUCUGCUGACUGCAGUGCAGUUAUAUGCAGUACGGCAGGGAGGACAGGAGGCUUUGCUGAUGCUUUCCUGGAAGAGCAGGGCAGAUGUCUCCAAAAAGCUGAAGAAGCCUCACAGCAGAUUGUGUACCCUGGAGCCCUUCUUCCUUUCAGCUGCAUAAGGUCUGGCUCCAGGAUGUUCACCAGCAGUGAUGGUUGUGGAGCAGUGUGAGCAGAAAAGCUGCAAGACAUUUGGAGAUCAAGAUAUGACAGUUGUCAGUAAGAUAUCACUUGGAGGCACCAGGAAUGCUCAGUGAUUGCACCCCUGUGUUAGUGAUCAGCCUCACUUUAGGGCUGAUAUCGGGCCUUUCCCCAGUAUACAGGAAAAUCUGACCCAUUCCUGUGAUGCUAGCAAGUUUGGAAAUCAUUUGACACGAGAAGUGUCCAGAUGUAUCUGCUCCAUCAUGCUCAUGUCCUUUCGCGUGUGUUGCAACAAAAAUAUUUUUUCAGCAAGAUUUUGGAGCAAGAUUUAUUUUUAGUUUCUUUUAAGGCAAUUUGGAGCCAGAAAUGAACAAAAAAGCCUCCAAACCCCAAAUGAAACAGCGCGACUGAACAAAGGGGCUCUUGUUUAUAAACUUCAAUUUUAAGGGUUUAUUGCACAUUCUACUGGAACAGUUUUUCAUCUUUCACUUGCACAGUCCAAUUUUUUAAAUACUAACCUAUUCAAGAAGCAAGUACUUUCUACUGCUGUUUUGAGCAUCUUUUCAAUGCCGUGUCUCCAGUUCCCAAAAGCUAAACAUACUACUCUCCCAUGCACUGAUCCUCUUCAGUAACAUUUCCAAAGUGAAAAAUAAAACAGUGUUUCAAUAUGCCAAGGAACAAAGUCAAAGAGGCUGAGCUGAAUCUGUCCCGUAAUCUGUCAGCUGCAGAGCCUUCAUCGCUUAAUGAACCUCACCUCAUGUUUCUGCCACUUUGCAGCACAAGAACAGGACUCUGAUUCAGAAAAAAACAACCCAGAAACAACAACAACAAAAAAAUCCCUCUCCCCCACACCCCCUCAAUUUCCCUUUGAAUCUAGACAGAGUCUAGCCAGGAGAAAAAUUUUCUCUGCACUUCUACCUUAAUAUUUCUGUCUGCAUUGCUUUGCUGUUCUCUGCCGCCAAAGCUAAGUGUUUGCUGAAUUAAAUAAACCAUGCAGCGUUGACAGAGCUUGUGAAUGCUGCCAUUGUCACGAGAAUCCAUUCGCUGACUCGACCCCAAAUCCUAGCGCCAAUUUUGUACAUAUUGGUGCGGUAGUGAGCGAACAUGAAUCGAUCAUGUUUAUGAGGCUAAGAGGUUCUACAAAAAGUCAUUUUAUAGGCUGUUUUUGUCACUGUGUGCCAAAACUUCAGGUCUGGUUUGGUCUGGUUUGGAAUCAGUUCUGUGUGUCAGGAAAGGUUUUUACAUUACUAAAUGCUCAGUGAAUUAGAACCAUGUUAGAGAGAAACUUUUCAUCCUACAUCUGACAUAAAAACAGUUGGUUUCAUUUGCACGUUAGUUAAAAGUCGUGGACUUAAUGGGUUUCCAGUGUCUGCAUGAUGCAAUAGGGGGUGGUGCGAGAAAAUCAUUUUUUCCUAUCUGUACUAUGGGAAGACUGUAGGGCUGAUACAGUGUAAAGUCUGUAAGAUGAAAAAUUAGUGCAAUUUCUGACAAGAUAAGUUUCCUAAGGACCUUGAGAGGAGAGGUCUGAUUUUUCAUCACCAAACCAUAAUACAGCUCCCCUACUUUUUCAUGUCCUAAAUGCCUCUGCCUUGUUUAUUCCAGAACCAAAGAACCUUCUGCCCUACUGAGAAGCACACAUGUGAAAUUGGAGCUACUGGUUUUGUAUGAAGCCUGGAAACAAAUGUAUGCAUCUCCGGCUUCAGCUGCUCUUUGUAAGACUACCCAAGAACACCCUGCCUCACGCACCUCACUGUUAUUUCCUCCAGCACCUUUUCUUUCCCCUCUUUUUGUGCCUGCAAAACAGCAGCAGCAGAGACCUUCUGGAGGCUAUGGCUUGAGCUGAUGCUUCAGACCAGUACUUAAGUUCCAGAAGUUUUACUGGCUUCAGGUUUUCGGUUUCUCUUUUCAAGUAAUGGCAUGUGAUGGUACAAUAACAUUUUUUUAGCGAUGUUUUCCUUUUGGCUUUGUUUUCCAGUUGCACAGAGGGCUGUUGUGCAGCUGACUCACCCCAUCUUUAGAUGCUGUCCUUCAUGGAGGUGCGUCUCACCCCAGAACAACGCUUUCAGCCCUAUGCUUAAGGAUCAUCAGAGUGGUGCAUCUGUUGCUUCAGCCAGUGGCUAUGCCAGACUCAAGAGAAAACACAUUGCUCCUUAAAUGAAGACAACUAUUAGAAAUAAAUUAGAGCAUCCAGAAAGCCGCCGUGCCUCCCUUCUGUUGAAAUGCAUUUCUUUUCUGGAAGCCCUCAUCACAUAAAGGAAAGGAACCACACGGCCCUAUUCCACAUAUCCCCUCCCUCUGUCUUUCUGCUGGAGAAAGGCACGUGUUCAGUGUCUGAGCUUUCCAGAGCAUGCUGCCGUCUACCUCACACCCAUUCGUUUAGCAAGGAAAAGCACAAUGCGUUUGCUGGCACAGCUCCCUGCUCUGCUCUUGACCAAGCAGAUGAGACUGAGCUAAGAGCUAAGCGAGUUAAUCCAAAGCCGUGUGGAUUGCACUGGAAGGGAACAACUGUGAUGAAGAUCCAUGUUUCAUUCAUAACAUUUUGUUUGGAGCACGUGGAAAGAAUUAGGAGCUACAUUUUCAUCUCGAUGAGCUGGGACUUGGGAGUGUGUAUUGAGACUUACGCAAGUGUGAAUUUGGUCUGAAACUAUUCUUCUUUCCUGUGCUUGUAGUUCUUCCAGCCCCCUGUGCUUCAUUUUGCCUGUGAUCUACCACUGAUGGUAGUCUUCCUUUCAUAUAGGAAGACUGCUUUGCAUGCAGAGCAAUGACAAGAUGACAAAAUACGGCAGGUUUGGUGAGGAGCGAUCUCUGAGGAGCUCUUUUAAAAGUUGGGACUGGACUUAGAGAUUUUCUUACAAGUAAGUUUAGAUCUUCCUUGCUUGAGUAAGUGGACAUUUUUCCCCUGAAACAGGUGAAAUAACAGACCUAUACUUGGGAUGUAAGGCUUAUGUAAUAUAGUUGCAAUUGUGACUUCAGUGACAUGUUUGCUUGCUCUGGGCUUUGUGAGCUGGAGGAGGCAUGGCUCACUGCUGUGGCAAAGGGCCUGAAUGACAGAGCUAGUAUUACUGAGGCCCUGAAGUGUGUCCAAAGAAGGUCAGCACAGCUGGUGAAAGGUCUGGAACAUCAUAAGUCUUAUGAGGAGCAGCUAAGGGAACAGGAAUUCUUUAGUCCAGAGAAGAGGAGGCUCAGAGGAGACCUUAUUGCUCUCUACAGCUACCUGAAAGGAUGAUGUGGAUGGCCUCUUCUUCCAGGUAACUACUGAUAGGAUGAGAGGGAAUUUGCACCAGGGGAGGU
Molecule: long non-coding RNA, 8244 nt
Organism: Numida meleagris (helmeted guineafowl)
Lineage: Eukaryota; Metazoa; Chordata; Aves; Galliformes; Numididae
Exons: 3
Source: RefSeq, a predicted model, not a curated record